Molecule: ribosomal RNA, 251 nt
Filed under: uncultured prokaryote
Description: partial 16S rRNA
Rfam family: Bacterial small subunit ribosomal RNA
Source: RNAcentral
ACAGAGGUCCCAAGCGUUGUUCGGAUUCACUGGGCGUAAAGGGUGCGUAGGUGGUGAGGCAAGUCGGAUGUGAAAGCUCGGAGCUCAACUCCGAAAUGGCAUUGGAAACUGCCUUGCUCGAGGGUCGGAGGGGAGACUGGAAUUCUCGGUGUAGCGGUGAAAUGCGUAGAUAUCAGGAGGAACACCAGUGGCGAAGGCGACUUCCUGGACGGCAACUGACACUGAGGCACGAAAGCGUGGGGAGCAAACAG